CGCACGUAUGACCCGUCAUGUUCAGAACAUUUC
RNAcentral lists this ribosomal RNA (33 nucleotides) under Cystotheca sp. SC-2017a. RNAcentral's name for it is "partial 18S ribosomal RNA". Lineage: Eukaryota; Fungi; Ascomycota; Leotiomycetes; Helotiales; Erysiphaceae. The record is from RNAcentral.